GUGGGGAAUAUUGGGCAAUGGGCGAAAGCCUGACCCAGCAACGCCGCGUGAGGGAAGAAGGUUUUCGGAUCGUAAACCUCUGUCCUUAGUGAAGAGAAAGAGACGGUAGCUAAGGAGGAAGCCCCGGCUAACUACGUGCCAGCAGCCGCGGUAAUACGUAGGGGGCGAGCGUUGUCCGGAAUGAUUGGGCGUAAAGGGCGCGUAGGCGGCCUGUUAAGUCCGGAGUGAAAUUCCUGCUUUCAAGGUAGGAAGUGCUUUGGAAACUGGCGGGCUGGAGGGCAGGAGAGGUUAGCGGAAUUCCCGGUGUAGCGGUGAAAUGCGUAGAGAUCGGGAGGAACACCAGUGGCGAAGGCGGCUAACUGGACUGUAACUGACGCUGAGGCGCGAAAGUGUGGGGAGCAAACAGGAUUAGAAACCCGGGUAGUCC
Molecule: ribosomal RNA, 427 nt
Filed under: uncultured bacterium
Lineage: Bacteria
Description: partial 16S ribosomal RNA
Rfam family: Bacterial small subunit ribosomal RNA
Source: RNAcentral